RNAcentral lists this ribosomal RNA (413 nucleotides) under uncultured bacterium. Its description in RNAcentral is "bacterial SSU rRNA". It matches the Rfam family "Bacterial small subunit ribosomal RNA", at positions 355 to 767 of the family's 1533-position model. The record is from RNAcentral.
UAAGGAAUAUUGCUCAAUGGGAGAAAUCCUGAAGCAGCAACGCCGCGUGGAGGAUGAAGGGUCUAUGACUUGUAAACUCCUGUAAAGAAGGAAAAAAUUCCCAUUAGAUGGGAGAUGAUGGUACUUCUGGAGUAAGCCCCGGCUAACUACGUGCCAGCAGCCGCGGUAAUACGUAGGGGGCAAGCGUUGUCCGGAUUUACUGGGUGUAAAGGGCGCGCAGGCGGGAUAAAAAGUCAGUGGUGAAAUCCUACAGCUUAACUGUAGAACUGCCUUUGAUACUUUUAUUCUUGAGUUCGGGAGAGAGAGACGGAAUUCCAGGUGUAGUGGUGAAAUACGUAGAUAUCUGGAAGAACACCAGUUGCGAAGGCGGUCUCUUGGUCCGACACUGACGCUGAGGCGCGAAAGCGUGGGGA